UAUAAAGUCAAGGUCCGAUGAAAGAAUUCCUUUGACGGACUUUCGUGACACGCUUCCAAGAAUAAGGGAGGAAUCAAAAAAAAAAAAUAUGAAGGAAAAUUUGCAUAGAAGGAAAAGAACGGGAUGCGGCUGUUAGGAAUAAGAUUGGUCUUCUCUCCCUAAUAUCGCUCAACGAACGGCGUCCCGAUAGAGCUGGGGAGUGCCUGUCUCCCAUGGCAUCCUCGGCCAGUUAAAGCACCUGUCCAGUGUCCGGAACAAUUCUGAUUAAGAAGUCAACCGCCGUUUGCGAAGCCACGAAGGAAUGCUCAAGAGGCGUUUUGGUCUCGCUGUCAACUCUUUUGUUUGACAUUUUUAGUUUUUAACUCGAGGUGGCUCCCAGUUUUAAAUUCUUGAAGUUAAUAAAGUCCUCUCGCUGUUAUUUUCAUGCCACUCCCCUCUCUGAUUGUUGUAUUGUUUUUAUUCUCCUAAGAUACAUCUGCUGACUAUUUAUGUCAUCAGGAGUGAACUCGAAUGAAGUAGCUACAUUUAUGCGCCUCAUUAUUUUCCAUAACGUGUACCUCAUUUUUCUCAGUGGUGACUACAGCAGAAGAGCCUCUCAAAUAUCCUUUCGUGGCAGCCUGGCAUUUAGAGUAGACAGCAUUCUCCGAGAAACAACUGUGAGUCAUCGAAGGGCAAAACUUCAGCUACAAAAUCGCCUGACAACGUUGUUAUUGGUCGUAAUGCUCUUCCUCCUCUUGUGUUCCCAGCUGUCUGAACGCGUCAUGUUUUCUUCUUGUCUACUCCGUUCAGCUUUGACUCUGCUUUCAUUGGUACUUUUGCUGGUAGCACUGUAACUUCUGCUACUAUUUCUGCUAUAAUUACUAUCCCUAUGAUUGAUACUACUGCUAAUGUUACUACCUUUCCAACUACCAAUACUGCUACUUCGUACAGUUGAUUUUAGACACUACUUCAACUAUUACUACCUAUUAUCCAACUCCUCUGUCUAAUGUUAUUACUGCUGCUACUAUUGCUGCCACUGCUACUUUUACCACCACCAUCAUCAAUACUACUUCUACUACUACUACUACUACUACUACUACUACUACUACAACUAAUACAACUACUACUAGCACCACCACAUUCUGACAAAAACAAUGACAGGCCUUCAGUCACUUUCUUACAGCUAUUCCUACGCCACUAAGUUACAGCUACUACGGCUACAGCUGUUAUUUCUGCUACAUUUGCGACUAAUUCAACUACAUCUGUUACGCCUAUUUUUUGUUAUGCUUAUUUCAAACGAGUUGAGUAUAGACUACAACCCUCCCUCGCUUUCAGCCUUUCCAACAACACUACCUGUUACGUACCUCUGCGACAUUAGGAAUUCCCUUUUCGAACGCUGAACUGAAACCUAUGACAAGAAUUGAAAUUGAUUGUUGCUUUCAUGUUCUUGUUAAAAAUAUUAUUAUUGUUAUUGUCAUUAAUAGUUUUGCUGUUGUUACUAGUAAUGUUUGAUUUGCUAUAGUUGCUGUUGUUAAAUAAUCCUUAUUAUUAUGGUCAUUGUUGUUAUAAUUUUUAUUAUUAUAAUUAUCAGUGUUA
Molecule: long non-coding RNA, 1575 nt
Filed under: Penaeus chinensis
Lineage: Eukaryota; Metazoa; Arthropoda; Malacostraca; Decapoda; Penaeidae
Description: uncharacterized LOC125026328
Source: RNAcentral